Hordeum vulgare subsp. vulgare (domesticated barley) is the source of this 135-nucleotide non-coding RNA. The record is from Rfam. NCBI's taxonomy places the organism in Eukaryota, Viridiplantae, Streptophyta, Magnoliopsida, Poales, Poaceae.
UAUAUACUCCCUCCGUUCCAAAAUUCUUGUCUUAGAUUUGUCUAUAUAUGAAUUAUCUAGUCACUUUUUGGUAUUUAGAUACAUUCAUUUUUAGACAAAUCUAAGANNNGAAUUUUGGGACGGAGGAAGUAUGUA